Non-coding RNA from Drosophila bipectinata, 517 nucleotides. The record is from RefSeq and is a predicted model, not a curated record. NCBI's taxonomy places the organism in Eukaryota, Metazoa, Arthropoda, Insecta, Diptera, Drosophilidae.
GAAGAAUCAGGCGAAGAAGGAAGAUCCCAUUGUUAGAAUUGAGCCGCAAGAGAGCCACAGCGAAGACAACCGAGAACCGCGAUCUUGGCGUCGGGAUAAUGGCGCGAAGAAAGAUAAUAAGGCGGUGCGCAAGCAUGCGAGACCCUAGACGGACCAUUCUUGGCAAACGUGCCAUUUUUCAAAUUACCAGACGAAGUGUAUUUUUCAAAUUUCCCGGACGUGCCAUUUUUCAAAUUCGCCAGACGUAGUGUAUUUUUCCAAUUUCCCGACGAAGUGUGACCAAAUUCGAUUUGUAUGCGUGCAUUUUCUUUUAAAUAUUUUUGGAGUUUAUGGCAAAAUUUGCAGUCUUCAGGGUCGAGAGCAGAGUCAGGAAAUAGCCGCAGGAAUCAAAAUCCCAAAGAAGAACGAAGCUUUUGGAAUUUUCAUUUGGUAGCCCAUCCUCGUGUAUUUUGACGUACCUUUUGCAUGUUUGGAUAGUGAUUAGAUAUCGUAAUACAAUUGUGUAACAAAAUUCAAA